UGGUGGCGACCGGCGCACGGGUGCGUAACGCGUAUGCAACCUACCUUUAACAGGGGGAUAACACUGAGAAAUUGGUACUAAUACCCCAUAAUAUCAUAGAAGGCAUCUUUUAUGGUUGAAAAUUCCGAUGGUUAGAGAUGGGCAUGCGUUGUAUUAGCUAGUUGGUGGGGUAACGGCCCACCUAGUCUUCGAUGGAUAGGGGUUCUGAGAGGAAGGUCCCCCACAUUGGAACUGAGACACGGUCCAA
This 247-nucleotide ribosomal RNA is filed under the name uncultured bacterium. Its description in RNAcentral is "partial 16S ribosomal RNA". It matches the Rfam family "Bacterial small subunit ribosomal RNA", at positions 86 to 334 of the family's 1533-position model. The record is from RNAcentral.